GUAACGGCGAGUGAAGAGGGAAGAGCCCAGCACCGAAGCCUGUGGCCGUUUGGCCCCUAGGCAAUGUGGUGUUCAGGUUAGCUCGCGGGGAUGCUGCUCCACCCUAAGUCCUAAAAUGAGUAAGGUUACUCGGACGUGGCCCAUUGAGGGUGAAAGGCCCGUGGGGGUGGAGAGUCAGACUGGCCAGUAUCUCCCUGAGCAGACCUUGGAGUCGGGUUGUUUGUGAAUGCAGCCCAAAGCGGGUGGUAAACUCCAUCCAAGGCUAAAUACUAGCACGAGUCCGAUAGCGAACAAGUACCGUGAGGGAAAGUUGAAAAGUACUUUGAAGAGAGAGUAAACAGUGCGUGAAGCCGUUCAGAGGUAAACGGGUGGAGUUGAACUGCAAGCUCUGAGGAUUCAACUGGUGAGAUUGGCGUGAGCUUGGUCACGUGGGUUGUAUUGCUGUGUCUGCUUAGCUGCAGGUCCUCGCCUCGGUGGGGAUGCGCGUCUAGCUUAUCAAGCUUUGCGCGCACGGUGUUUUUCGAGCCCGCUUGCCAGUGCACUUUCUCAGAGUGUUCACCACGACCGGCGUUGCUGUCUGGCUGAUGGGGUUAAACCGGUCUUGUAGGGUCCUUGUGGCCUUGCUUGGUCGGGAUGGCAGGUAGCCCGUUGUGUAUUUUAUAUGCUUCGGGUGUAAUAGCCGACUUCAUCGGUUCUGUGCGGUACGUCGGAGACGGCGGCUUGUUGUGCGUGCGGGCGUGCCUGUGUGCUGGCGGCUCUGGGUCUGGUUGCCUUGUUGCUUGCGAAUGCAGGCCAGGUGAUGGCUCGGGGUCGUUUGGUGUGCGGUUGCGUUCGUGGCACUUUGAAGGGCCAACAGUCUGUGGUGUAGUGGUAGACUAUCCACCCGACCCGUCUUGAAACACGGACCAAGGAGAGUAACAUGUGCGCGAGUCAUUGGGCGUUACGAAACCCAAAGGCGUAGUGAAAGUAAAGGUUCGGCUUGUCUGGACUGAGGUGAGAUCCUGUCGUUUCUCACGCAUGGUACUACCAAGCAUCGAGCGGCAGGCGCAUCACCGGCCCGUCCCAUGACGUAGUGGUGGCUUCGGCUUGCCCAUCGUCGGGGCGGAGCAUGAGCGUACAUGUUGAGACCCGAAAGAUGGUGAACUAUGCUUGCGCAGGUUGAAGCCAGAGGAAACUCUGGUGGAGGACCGCAGCGAUUCUGACGUGCAAAUCGAUCGUCAAACGUGAGUAUA
This 1232-nucleotide ribosomal RNA is filed under the name Neopetasiger islandicus. RNAcentral describes it as "eukaryotic LSU rRNA". It matches the Rfam family "Eukaryotic large subunit ribosomal RNA", at positions 83 to 919 of the family's 3401-position model. Lineage: Eukaryota; Metazoa; Platyhelminthes; Trematoda; Plagiorchiida; Echinostomatidae. The record is from RNAcentral.